CAUGCAAGUCGAACGGCAGCGCGGGAGCAAUCCUGGCGGCGAGUGGCGAACGGGUGAGUAAUACAUCGGAACGUGCCCAAUCGUGGGGGAUAACGCAGCGAAAGCUGUGCUAAUACCGCAUACGAUCUACGGAUGAAAGCAGGGGAUCGCAAGACCUUGCGCGAAUGGAGCGGCCGAUGGCAGAUUAGGUAGUUGGUGAGGUAAAGGCUCACCAAGCCUUCGAUCUGUAGCUGGUCUGAGAGGACGACCAGCCACACUGGGACUGAGACACGGCCCAGACUCCUACGGGAGGCAGCAGUGGGGAAUUUUGGACAAUGGGCGAAAGCCUGAUCCAGCCAUGCCGCGUGCAGGAUGAAGGCCUUCGGGUUGUAAACUGCUUUUGUACGGAACGAAACGGCCUUUUCUAAUAAAGAGGGCUAAUGACGGUACCGUAAGAAUAAGCACCGGCUAACUACGUGCCAGCAGCCGCGGUAAUACGUAGGGUGCAAGCGUUAAUCGGAAUUACUGGGCGUAAAGCGUGCGCAGGCGGUAAUGUAAGACAGUUGUGAAAUCCCCGGGCUCAACCUGGGAACUGCAUCUGUGACUGCACUGCUGGAGUACGGUAGAGGGGGAUGGAAUUCCGCGUGUAGCAGUGAAAUGCGUAGAUAUGCGGAGGAACACCGAUGGCGAANGCAAUCCCCUGGACCUGUACUGACGCUCA
This 700-nucleotide ribosomal RNA is filed under the name uncultured bacterium. RNAcentral describes it as "bacterial SSU rRNA". It matches the Rfam family "Bacterial small subunit ribosomal RNA", at positions 54 to 749 of the family's 1533-position model. The record is from RNAcentral.